GUGUUUUAGUGUCCCCAAUGUGUCCCCUAGUGUCUCAGUGUCCCCAUGUGUCCCUGCUGCCUUUCCUCCGAUCCCUCACUUACCUGAGCUGUAGAGCUGCUGUCUGGACUCCCUGUGCUGUGUAGCUGCUCCCCCACUGAUCAGUGAGUAGUAGAGAGAGGCAGGGAUAUUCUGUAACUUCCUAUCCCUGCCUCUCUCCACACACAGUGACCCCUACUGGCCGGUGCUG
Molecule: non-coding RNA, 229 nt
Organism: Pelobates cultripes (western spadefoot toad)
Lineage: Eukaryota; Metazoa; Chordata; Amphibia; Anura; Pelobatidae
Source: the annotation of a GenBank genome assembly